This is a long non-coding RNA of Pan troglodytes (chimpanzee), 2815 nucleotides long. RefSeq lists it as uncharacterized. The transcript has 3 exons. Lineage: Eukaryota; Metazoa; Chordata; Mammalia; Primates; Hominidae. The record is from RefSeq and is a predicted model, not a curated record.
ACUACACACAGACAGAAAAGCACCCAGUGAACAGUGCCUUCAUUUCUCGAAUUUCCUGCUUUCUGUCAACAUGCAUCACACAGUUACAUGCUCUUCCUGUGGUUGCAAUCAGUUUAUCUUUGCAUUCUGCUGUUUUAAAAUUUAACGCCCAUUUCUGUGGAUUGGCAUAGCCCACAUUCUUGUGAAUCACCCACAGUGAUUCCUGCAGUGUUGUCCCCAGCCUCAAGCCUCUCUGCACCGUAAUUGUGCUUCUUUUCCUCAGAUACCUGCCUUGCAUUGGCCCUGGGUAAAUGUUUCCCUUGGCUGUGAAUAGGCAAUUAAAAUUCUGAACCUUUUAUGGCUCUGGAAGCUUAUCCCAUGAAACAAUACUCAUCCAGGCGGAUGGCCCACCAGCGCAAAGGGCUGAGGCCGCUGUAAGCCAAGGUACGCAACGCUUGCUAAACAGGAAUCCCUGGAAUGAAUCCAUGCAUGAGGCCUUUGUGCCAUGUGACAGUUGAAGGCUGUGGUGACCCCUGAACCGUCCCACUCCGAGACGCCUUAACACCGUUUUUCUGCUGUUACAAACCACAGAGCAACGCGUGUGCCUCCUCCCGCCCUGGGGACUCUUUCUAUGGGAGAGGUGCCUGGAUUUAGAGGAGCGACCACUCUUCAUUUGUAGGGACUCUCCCUAGCCUGGGAGCCCUUCAGCUCCCACUCCAGAGUGGUUGUUGGUGGUAAUACGCCAGGCCUGGGGAAGCAGGAGUGGGAAGGUGUGAGAGGUGGGGGAGUGUGGUUGUCAACUGUUCUGAUUUUCCACCAGGAUCUUGGUCACUUUCCCAGUUGUCACUCGGCCCACAAACUAGGAUGUGAGCAGCAUAUUGAGAAUCUGCAGAGAUGUUCCCGUCUGCCCAGCAUAUGGAUGUCCUUCUGGGCUGCGAAGUGGCAUCCUGUGGGCAACUCCCCCCACAACAACCAGCUGUGAGCUGUGCCCAGGCACAGAGGGACCUGGCUUUCCCUGUUUCUGCAGAUGGAGCCCAGGGUUUCAGGGAGGGAGGGGGCAGGCUGGGACCUGUUGGGGAUCUGGGCACUUUCUCAUGCUCCUUGAGCUGCAAGUCAUAGAAGGAGUGGGGUGGGAGCUGGGAAUGUACCUUCCCAAGGCCACUGGCAGAACCAGCAGGCCCUUUGCUCUGGGAUGAGCUCCCUCUGAGGGGUGGGGACAGUAAAGCGGACCGAAGUCCCUGUUCUGCGGGAUGGAAACUGGCUCCCCUCCAUUGUACAGGCCAGCUCUGGGGAUUUGGGCAGCAGAUUUGGGGUUGACAGCAGAAUGACAUGAUCACCAGUUGACCUUGGCCAGGAUGCCAGCUUACUUUCUCGCUUACUUCUGCAGGUUCUUUGUUCUGCGGGUGAGUCACCCAGGUCCUGCCCUCCGUGCCUGUCUGCCCUCUCCCACUUUCCCUGCCCUGAGCUUGUUCCCACUUGUAGAUUUGGCAGGUCACUGCCAAGGCCCCUCUGCCCCCAACAUGGCCAGUGCCCUAAGGGUGGGUUGUACAGGGAGGAGCUGGCGUGGUCAGUAGACUUGAAUCAGGGACAGCUCGGCUGCUGAAGGCUGAGGGGGCCUUGCAGGGCUGCAGGUGCCUUGUGCACACAGGGAGUGGGUAGAGAAGGCAACCAGGGGCUCCUUCAGGCCUUAAUGCUCUGCAGCCCAGUGAGGCUGUGCCCAGAGAGUCUGGUGAGGCCCUGGUCUGCUCCCCCAGCCAAUGGCCUGAUGCUGUUCCAUCUGGGCACCCUGUCACUUUUCGUUCAUCAGGGAGUACAGGGUGAUUCAGGGUCUCAAAUGCAGGUGUUCACAAAAUGAAAUAGAACUUCCCUUUAUCCCCGUGCUUCUUUUUAUUUUUAUAACAAAUUACAUCGUUAUAUUUUAUUUUUAUAUUUAUGUAUUUUAUAUAUAUGUGACAUCUACUACAUGACAGAAAAUAUUUAUGGCCAGGCAAGGUGGCUUACACCUAUAAUGCCAGCACUUUGGGAGGCUGAGGCAGGCGGAUCACCUGAGGUCGAGAGUUGGAGACCAGUGUGACCAACAUGGAGAAACCCCGUCUCUACUAAAAAUACAAAAUUAGCCGGGGGUGGUGGCGCAUGCCUGUAAUCCCAGCUACUCGGGAAGCUGAGGCAGGAGAAUCGCUUGAACCGGGGAGGCGGAGGUUGUGGUGAGCCGAGAUUGCACCAUUGCACUCCAGCCUGGCAACAAGAGAUAAACCCCGUCUCAAAAAAAAAAAAGAAAAAAGAAAAAAAAAAGAAAAAAAUAUUUAUAAUGUAACUAAUAUAGCUAAAAUAAAAUGUAAUUUCAGUCUCAAGCCUUCAUUCUGUUAAGGGGACAGAAACUUAAUCUUGGUCAUCUUGGGGUCUCCCUCCCUGGGGCUGUGCCUGACUUCCAGGGGGCUCGGCAUUGGCAGGAUUUCUGGUGCUUGAGGUCACCUGUCAGCCUGUCUCUUGUCAUUGGCUAUCCGCCGUGCCAUCCGCUCCUGUGUGUCCUUGGCACUGUUCACAUGUCUCCAGCUCGCUGGCUUUCUCUGCCACCUUGGAGCCACUCCUGGGUGCACAGGAGUCUUACUGCUCCCACGCUGUGCUGGGGCCUGGGAAGACUGCUGUGGCCUACCUGCCUCCGUGUAGCACACACACCCAUUUCUUCUUCUUCUUCUCCUUCUCCUUCUUCAGACAGAGACUCACUCUGUCACCUAGGCUGGACUGCAGUGGUGCCAAAUUGGCUCACUGCAACCUCCGCCUCCCGGGUUCAAGCGAUUCUCCUGCCUCAGUCUCCCGAGUAGCUGGGAUUACAGGC